RNAcentral lists this ribosomal RNA (2902 nucleotides) under Escherichia coli. Its description in RNAcentral is "bacterial LSU rRNA". It matches the Rfam family "Bacterial large subunit ribosomal RNA". Lineage: Bacteria; Pseudomonadati; Pseudomonadota; Gammaproteobacteria; Enterobacterales; Enterobacteriaceae. The record is from RNAcentral.
UUAAGCGACUAAGCGUACACGGUGGAUGCCCUGGCAGUCAGAGGCGAUGAAGGACGUGCUAAUCUGCGAUAAGCGUCGGUAAGGUGAUAUGAACCGUUAUAACCGGCGAUUUCCGAAUGGGGAAACCCAGUGUGAUUCGUCACACUAUCAUUAACUGAAUCCAUAGGUUAAUGAGGCGAACCGGGGGAACUGAAACAUCUAAGUACCCCGAGGAAAAGAAAUCAACCGAGAUUCCCCCAGUAGCGGCGAGCGAACGGGGAGCAGCCCAGAGCCUGAAUCAGUGUGUGUGUUAGUGGAAGCGUCUGGAAAGGCGUGCGAUACAGGGUGACAGCCCCGUACACAAAAAUGCACAUGCUGUGAGCUCGAUGAGUAGGGCGGGACACGUGGUAUCCUGUCUGAAUAUGGGGGGACCAUCCUCCAAGGCUAAAUACUCCUGACUGACCGAUAGUGAACCAGUACCGUGAGGGAAAGGCGAAAAGAACCCCGGCGAGGGGAGUGAAAAAGAACCUGAAACCGUGUACGUACAAGCAGUGGGAGCACGCUUAGGCGUGUGACUGCGUACCUUUUGUAUAAUGGGUCAGCGACUUAUAUUCUGUAGCAAGGUUAACCGAAUAGGGGAGCCGAAGGGAAACCGAGUCUUAACUGGGCGUUAAGUUGCAGGGUAUAGACCCGAAACCCGGUGAUCUAGCCAUGGGCAGGUUGAAGGUUGGGUAACACUAACUGGAGGACCGAACCGACUAAUGUUGAAAAAUUAGCGGAUGACUUGUGGCUGGGGGUGAAAGGCCAAUCAAACCGGGAGAUAGCUGGUUCUCCCCGAAAGCUAUUUAGGUAGCGCCUCGUGAAUUCAUCUCCGGGGGUAGAGCACUGUUUCGGCAAGGGGGUCAUCCCGACUUACCAACCCGAUGCAAACUGCGAAUACCGGAGAAUGUUAUCACGGGAGACACACGGCGGGUGCUAACGUCCGUCGUGAAGAGGGAAACAACCCAGACCGCCAGCUAAGGUCCCAAAGUCAUGGUUAAGUGGGAAACGAUGUGGGAAGGCCCAGACAGCCAGGAUGUUGGCUUAGAAGCAGCCAUCAUUUAAAGAAAGCGUAAUAGCUCACUGGUCGAGUCGGCCUGCGCGGAAGAUGUAACGGGGCUAAACCAUGCACCGAAGCUGCGGCAGCGACGCUGAUGCGUUGUUGGGUAGGGGAGCGUUCUGUAAGCCUGCGAAGGUGUGCUGUGAGGCAUGCUGGAGGUAUCAGAAGUGCGAAUGCUGACAUAAGUAACGAUAAAGCGGGUGAAAAGCCCGCUCGCCGGAAGACCAAGGGUUCCUGUCCAACGUUAAUCGGGGCAGGGUGAGUCGACCCCUAAGGCGAGGCCGAAAAGCGUAGUCGAUGGGAAACAGGUUAAUAUUCCUGUACUUGGUGUUACUGCGAAGGGGGGACGGAGAAGGCUAUGUUGGCCGGGCGACGGUUGUCCCGGUUUAAGCGUGUAGGCUGGUUUUCCAGGCAAAUCCGGAAAAUCAAGGCUGAGGCGUGAUGACGAGGCACUACGGUGCUGAAGCAACAAAUGCCCUGCUUCCAGGAAAAGCCUCUAAGCAUCAGGUAACAUCAAAUCGUACCCCAAACCGACACAGGUGGUCAGGUAGAGAAUACCAAGGCGCUUGAGAGAACUCGGGUGAAGGAACUAGGCAAAAUGGUGCCGUAACUUCGGGAGAAGGCACGCUGAUAUGUAGGUGAAGCGACUUGCUCGUGGAGCUGAAAUCAGUCGAAGAUACCAGCUGGCUGCAACUGUUUAUUAAAAACACAGCACUGUGCAAACACGAAAGUGGACGUAUACGGUGUGACGCCUGCCCGGUGCCGGAAGGUUAAUUGAUGGGGUCAGCGCAAGCGAAGCUCUUGAUCGAAGCCCCGGUAAACGGCGGCCGUAACUAUAACGGUCCUAAGGUAGCGAAAUUCCUUGUCGGGUAAGUUCCGACCUGCACGAAUGGCGUAAUGAUGGCCAGGCUGUCUCCACCCGAGACUCAGUGAAAUUGAACUCGCUGUGAAGAUGCAGUGUACCCGCGGCAAGACGGAAAGACCCCGUGAACCUUUACUAUAGCUUGACACUGAACAUUGAGCCUUGAUGUGUAGGAUAGGUGGGAGGCUUUGAAGUGUGGACGCCAGUCUGCAUGGAGCCGACCUUGAAAUACCACCCUUUAAUGUUUGAUGUUCUAACGUGGACCCGUGAUCCGGGUUGCGGACAGUGUCUGGUGGGUAGUUUGACUGGGGCGGUCUCCUCCUAAAGAGUAACGGAGGAGCACGAAGGUUGGCUAAUCCUGGUCGGACAUCAGGAGGUUAGUGCAAUGGCAUAAGCCAGCUUGACUGCGAGCGUGACGGCGCGAGCAGGUGCGAAAGCAGGUCAUAGUGAUCCGGUGGUUCUGAAUGGAAGGGCCAUCGCUCAACGGAUAAAAGGUACUCCGGGGAUAACAGGCUGAUACCGCCCAAGAGUUCAUAUCGACGGCGGUGUUUGGCACCUCGAUGUCGGCUCAUCACAUCCUGGGGCUGAAGUAGGUCCCAAGGGUAUGGCUGUUCGCCAUUUAAAGUGGUACGCGAGCUGGGUUUAGAACGUCGUGAGACAGUUCGGUCCCUAUCUGCCGUGGGCGCUGGAGAACUGAGGGGGGCUGCUCCUAGUACGAGAGGACCGGAGUGGACGCAUCACUGGUGUUCGGGUUGUCAUGCCAAUGGCACUGCCCGGUAGCUAAAUGCGGAAGAGAUAAGUGCUGAAAGCAUCUAAGCACGAAACUUGCCCCGAGAUGAGUUCUCCCUGACUCCUUGAGAGUCCUGAAGGAACGUUGAAGACGACGACGUUGAUAGGCCGGGUGUGUAAGCGCAGCGAUGCGUUGAGCUAACCGGUACUAAUGAACCGUGAGGCUUAACCUU